UAAGACGAACUGCCCUAACGUUGUUCGGAAUCACUGGGCAUAAAGGGCGCGUAGGCGGCGAUUCAAGUCAGGGGUGAAAUCCGGCAGCUUAACUGUCGAAGUGCCUUUGAUACUGAGUUGCUCGAGGGAGGUAGGGGUCUGUGGAACUUCUGGUGGAGCGGUGAAAUGCGUUGAUAUCAGAAGGAACGCCGGUGGCGAAAGCGACGGACUGGACCUUUUCUGACGCUGAGGCGCGAAAGCUAGGGGAGCAAACGGGAUUAGAUACCCCGGUAGUCCUAGCCCUAAACGUUGGGUACUAGAUAGUAGACUAAUCAUGGGUUUACUGUCGAAGCUAAUGUGUUAAGUACCCCGCCUGGGGAGUAUGGUCGCAAGGCUG
Molecule: ribosomal RNA, 376 nt
Filed under: uncultured bacterium
Lineage: Bacteria
Description: bacterial SSU rRNA
Rfam family: Bacterial small subunit ribosomal RNA
Source: RNAcentral